This is a non-coding RNA of Salmo salar (Atlantic salmon), 54 nucleotides long. The record is from Rfam. Lineage: Eukaryota; Metazoa; Chordata; Actinopteri; Salmoniformes; Salmonidae.
UGCAUUCACUACUGUAAGUCACUUUGGAUAAGAGCGUCUGCUAAAUGACUAAAA